RNAcentral lists this ribosomal RNA (585 nucleotides) under Pseudomonas sp. StFRB034. RNAcentral describes it as "bacterial SSU rRNA". It matches the Rfam family "Bacterial small subunit ribosomal RNA", at positions 102 to 683 of the family's 1533-position model. RNAcentral also lists the same sequence under 3 other names. The record is from RNAcentral. Lineage: Bacteria; Pseudomonadati; Pseudomonadota; Gammaproteobacteria; Pseudomonadales; Pseudomonadaceae.
ACGGGUGAGUAAUGCCUAGGAAUCUGCCUGGUAGUGGGGGACAACGUUUCGAAAGGAACGCUAAUACCGCAUACGUCCUACGGGAGAAAGCAGGGGACCUUCGGGCCUUGCGCUAUCAGAUGAGCCUAGGUCGGAUUAGCUAGUUGGUGAGGUAAUGGCUCACCAAGGCUACGAUCCGUAACUGGUCUGAGAGGAUGAUCAGUCACACUGGAACUGAGACACGGUCCAGACUCCUACGGGAGGCAGCAGUGGGGAAUAUUGGACAAUGGGCGAAAGCCUGAUCCAGCCAUGCCGCGUGUGUGAAGAAGGUCUUCGGAUUGUAAAGCACUUUAAGUUGGGAGGAAGGGUUGUAGAUUAAUACUCUGCAAUUUUGACGUUACCGACAGAAUAAGCACCGGCUAACUCUGUGCCAGCAGCCGCGGUAAUACAGAGGGUGCAAGCGUUAAUCGGAAUUACUGGGCGUAAAGCGCGCGUAGGUGGUUCGUUAAGUUGGAUGUGAAAUCCCCGGGCUCAACCUGGGAACUGCAUCCAAAACUGGCGAGCUAGAGUAUGGUAGAGGGUGGUGGAAUUUCCUGUGUAGCGGUG